AUGACUAUUCCGAGGCUGGAAUUGAUGGCUGUUUUGAUAGGUGUUAGGUGUUUAGCAUUCGUUAAAGGGGAAUUAAAUGUACCCAUUGAAACGAUAUAUCUUUGGACAGACUCUCAGUGUGUUUUAAAGUGGAUUUCGACAAAAAAGGAUCUUGGUGUAUUUGUGAAAAAUCGAAUAACAGAAAUUAAAAUUCAUAAAGAUGUUAAAUUCUUGUAUGUUUCCACCAAAGAAAAUCCAGCAGACGUUGCAACAAGAGGAACUUCGACUAGACUGCUCUGUGACAAUAGUCUGUGGUGGCAUGGUCCUGAGUGGCUUUUGAGCGACAUUCAUCAGUGGAAAAUAUUCACCUGUGAAGAUGUGUUAGCUAAACAAGAAUAUAAAUGUGAGUUGAAAGUAGGAAAGAAAACAACAGAAAGUAGUGCGUUGCUCUUGUACCAAAGAAAUUGAAGGAAAUCAGAUUGAAACACCGUAUGGAAUACAGUGCAAAAAUUUCUCAUCGUAUUACAAACUUAUACGAGUGACUGCAUGGGUUGAGCGAUUCAUUUCACGAAUUAAGAAAAUUUCAGUUAAGACUAGUAAAAUUUUGACAUGCGAGGAACUGAAAAUUGCAGAAGAAAAAUGGAUCAAAUUUGUACAAAGGAGGAAUUAUUCAGAUAUUUUUAGUGCAAUAUAUGAAAACAAACCAAACAACCUACAGAAUCAACUUGGGCUUUUUAUAUCUGAUGAUGGUUUUCUACGUUGUAAAGGGAGAUUCGAAAAUGCAGAUUUGAGUGAAGCAGCUAGAAUACCGAUUCUUCUUCCGCGUGGGGAGGACUUCACGCGUUUGAUCAUUGAAAGAAUACACAAAGACCUCUUUCAUAGUGGUGUAUCACAAACUCUCAGUAAAUUAAGACAUAAGUUUUGGAUCCCACAAGGUCGUUCCACAGUUAGACAAGUUUUACGACAUUGCUUAGUGUGUCGAAGGUUUGAAGGUGGACAUUACGGAAUGCCUAAGAUGCCCCCAUUUCCAAGAUCUAGAGUAUCACAAUCCAUUCCGUUUGCAAGUACUGGCUUAGAUUAUCUUGGACCGAUUUAUGUAAAAUAUGAUGGCGAGAACAAGAAAAGAUGGGUAUGUUUGUUUACCUGUUUUGUUACACGUGCUAUACAUUUAGAAUUGUUAAAUGAUAUGACAACUGAAGAAUUUUUGUACGCAUUUAGAAGAUUCGUAUCAAUUCGAGGUGCUCCAUGCAAUAUUCUAAGUGAUAAUGCAGCCCAGUUCAAGUUGGGGAGUGCAACAUUAGAUUUAGUUUGGAAGAAAGUGAUUAAAUGUGAUGAUGUUCAAAACUAUGUGUCUAAUGCUGGCAUUCGAUGGACCUUUAUAACGGAAUUAGCGCCAUGGAUGGGAGGUUUUUACGAAAGGCUUGUUGGUGUGGUAAAACGUUCUUUGCGAAAAGUUCUGAAAGGAAGGUUAGUCAGCGACGUUCGUUCAACUACUUACAGUUAUUAA
This 1486-nucleotide small RNA is filed under the name Mytilus galloprovincialis (Mediterranean mussel). Lineage: Eukaryota; Metazoa; Mollusca; Bivalvia; Mytilida; Mytilidae. The record is from RNAcentral.